UAGGGAAUCUUCCGCAAUGGACGCAAGUCUGACGGAGCAACGCCGCGUGAGUGAAGAAGGUUUUCGGAUCGUAAAACUCUGUUGUUAGAGAAGAACAAGUGCUAGAGUAACUGUUAGCGCCUUGACGGUAUCUAACCAGAAAGCCACGGCUAACUACGUGCCAGCAGCCGCGGUAAUACGUAGGUGGCAAGCGUUGUCCGGAUUUAUUGGGCGUAAAGCGAGCGCAGGCGGUUCCUUAAGUCUGAUGUGAAAGCCCCCGGCUCAACCGGGGAGGGUCAUUGGAAACUGGGGAACUUGAGUGCAGAAGAGGAGAGUGGAAUUCCAUGUGUAGCGGUGAAAUGCGUAGAUAUAUGGAGGAACACCAGUGGCGAAGGCGACUCUCUGGUCUGUAACUGACGCUGAGGCUCGAAAGCGUGGGUAGCAAACAGGAUUAGAUACCCUGGUAGUCCACGCCGUAAACGAUGAGUGCUAAGUGUUGGAGGGUUUCCGCCCUUCAGUGCUGCAGUUAACGCAUUANNCACUCCGCCUGGGGAGUACGACNGCNNNGUUG
This 550-nucleotide ribosomal RNA is filed under the name uncultured bacterium. Its description in RNAcentral is "bacterial SSU rRNA". It matches the Rfam family "Bacterial small subunit ribosomal RNA", at positions 355 to 896 of the family's 1533-position model. The record is from RNAcentral.